GGAAGUAGAUAUAUAAUAUGUUAUAAAGGAGAAGACAAGUAAAUAUUGAGUGUGAAAGAUCAGUAUGAUUUUUUUACUAUCAUAUGAAUUAUUGAAUUUAAUCUGGUAUUCAACCCCUCAACAUUAUAUUUAAUACAUGCUACUACACCAUUACUUAUCUCUACUAUAAAAGGAGAAUUUGACAAGUAAUCAAGCAAGUCAGCACUAUCGUCGAUGGAAGUUGUCGUGCGGAGAUGGAAGUUGACAAGUAAUUUUCUCCAUGAAGUUGAUCUGAUGCGAAGCUUGUGCCAGAUAAAAGGUUAAUUGAGUUCUCAUCUCCAAUAUGUUUGCAUUCUAACUAUCCUUGUUGAUUCAGUGGUUCCAUGAUGCUACAUUUCGCUUGUUUUUCACCUCUUGAUGCUACUAUGGACAGAAGGCGUUUGCUAAUUUGCACAUUUUUUUCUUCUGAUAAACUGUGCCAAUAUCACCUGUAAUAUAAAAGUUGAUUGAUACUUUUCAUUUUAUAUUGAUGUGCUCUCCAGCGAGAACAAUUUUUUUGACUGGAUGUGUUUAAUUAGAUAUGCUCUUUUAUUUGUGCGAAGUUGUUCAGACUUUUCUUUGAUUCAUUAUUUUAGCUGCAUCAAAAAGGAGUAUGAGUAAUGUUUGGUUCCAUGCAGGACCAAUGAAGGAAGAGAAGCAAAUCACAACCCUUUAGUUCAUGGUCUAGGAGCAGGAAGGUACACAUCCAUCUUUGUGAUAUUCUGAUAUGAAUAAGCAUAGUACUACGUACAGAAUCUCUCAAUUGUGUAGAUAGGUCAUCAAGUAAUGGUUAGUAAUUCAUACUUCUGCUUCACCUUUCAGUUAAUUAUCCGCUUUCAAGUAUUUGUUGCCGAAGUGAGCAUCUAAUUGCAGGAAUUCUAUGAGGUAACCAUCUCAAUCUUUUUGUCACAAGGCUCUUACGCGGUAGAGAUUUUUGCUUGGUCAUAAAUGAAUUAGUUCCAUUCUUUGACAGUAAGAGAAUGGAGCCAGAUGGAGGAACAUCAACAUUGAUGCCAAAAGUUCCAUUCUCUUGUUGUAGUAGUGUAUUAAUUGGAAGAAUAUUUUGAUGAUGUUGAUUGCUUUCUGUUCUCAACUUUUCAUCAUUUUAGAUCACUUUCUGGAUAGUUCAAUACUAUAUUUUCGGGGUUAACUGUAACAUUAUGUGAAUAUAUGUUUAUUGUUAUAAAAUCAAUGUUCAUCAGCAAUCAGCCUUCUAACUAAAUAAUAUUUUUCGCAAG
Molecule: long non-coding RNA, 1256 nt
Filed under: Triticum aestivum (bread wheat)
Lineage: Eukaryota; Viridiplantae; Streptophyta; Magnoliopsida; Poales; Poaceae
Description: long non-coding RNA (TAES_LNC008950)
Source: RNAcentral